UACAGAGGGUGCAAGCGUUAAUCGGAAUUACUGGGCGUAAAGCGUGCGCAGGCGGUUUUGUAAGACAGGCGUGAAAUCCCCGGGCUUAACCUGGGAAUGGCGCUUGUGACUGCAAAGCUGGAGUGCGGCAGAGGGGGAUGGAAUUCCGCGUGUAGCAGUGAAAUGCGUAGAUAUGCGGAGGAACACCAAUGGCGAAGGCAAUCCCCUGGGCCUGUACUGACGCUCAUGCACGAAAGCGUGGGGAGCAAACAGG
RNAcentral lists this ribosomal RNA (253 nucleotides) under uncultured bacterium. RNAcentral's name for it is "partial 16S ribosomal RNA". It matches the Rfam family "Bacterial small subunit ribosomal RNA", at positions 524 to 776 of the family's 1533-position model. The record is from RNAcentral.